GAGUUUGAUCCUGGCUCAGAACUAACGCUGGUGGCGUGUCUUAGUCAUGCAAGUCGAACGAGAAAGUACCCUUCGGGGUGCGAGUAAAGUGGCGAACGGGUGAGUAACACGUGGGUAACCUACCUUUGAGUGGGGGACAACCCCUCUAACGAGGGGCUAAUACCGCAUAAUGCAGCGGCUCCGCAUGGAGACAGUUGUUAAAGGGGCAGCUUCGGUUGUCUCGCUUGAAGAUGGACCCGCGGUCCAUUAGCUUGUUGGUGAGGUAACGGCUCACCAAGGCAACGAUGGAUAGCCGGCCUGAGAGGGUGAACGGCCACACUGGAACUGAGAAAGGUCCAGUCCCCUACGGGGGCCAGCAGUCUAGAAAUUUGCGCAAUGGGCGAAAGCCUGACGCAGCGACGCCACGUGGAGGAUGAAGCCCUUAGGGGUGUAAACUCCUGUCAGAAGGGAAGAAUGCAGGAAAUAACUUUUCCUGUUUGACGGUACCUUCAGAGGAAGCCCCGGCUAACUUCGUGCCAGCAGCCGCGGUAAUACGAAGGGGGCAAGCGUUGUUCGGAUU
This 559-nucleotide ribosomal RNA is filed under the name uncultured bacterium. Its description in RNAcentral is "bacterial SSU rRNA". It matches the Rfam family "Bacterial small subunit ribosomal RNA", at positions 9 to 551 of the family's 1533-position model. The record is from RNAcentral.